Molecule: ribosomal RNA, 433 nt
Filed under: uncultured bacterium
Lineage: Bacteria
Description: partial 16S ribosomal RNA
Rfam family: Bacterial small subunit ribosomal RNA
Source: RNAcentral
AACGAACGCUGGCGGCAUGCCUAACACAUGCAAGUCGAACGAGACCUUCGGGUCUAGUGGCGCACGGGUGCGUAACGCGUGGGAACCUGCCCUUAGGUUCGGAAUAACUCCCCGACAGGGGUGCUAAUACCGGAUAAUGUCUUCGGACCAAAGAUUUAUCGCCUUUGGAUGGGCCCGCGUUGGAUUAGCUAGUUGGUAGGGUAAAAGCCUCCCAAGGCGACGAUCCAUAGCUGGUCUGAGAGGAUGAUCAGCCACACUGGGACUGAGACACGGCCCAGACUCCUACGGGAGGCAGCAGUGGGGAAUAUUGGACAAUGGGCGAAAGCCUGAUCCAGCAAUGCCGCGUGAGUGAUGAAGGCCUUAGGGUUGUAAAGCUCUUUUACCCGGGAUGAUAAUGACAGUACCGGGAGAAUAAGCUCCGGCUAACUCCGUG